AGAGUUUGAUCCUGGCUCAGAGCGAACGUUAGCGGCGGGCCUAACACAUGCAAGUCGAACGAGAAUGAGGGGGCAACUCCUCUAGUAAGUGGCGGACGGGUGCGUAACACGUAGGUAAUUUACCUUCCGGCGGGGGACAACAGUCCGAAAGGAUUGCUAAUACCGCAUACGUCGGCGAGAUCUCCGGAUCUUGUCGGGAAAGAUGGCCUCA
RNAcentral lists this ribosomal RNA (211 nucleotides) under uncultured bacterium. RNAcentral's name for it is "partial 16S ribosomal RNA". It matches the Rfam family "Bacterial small subunit ribosomal RNA", at positions 8 to 213 of the family's 1533-position model. The record is from RNAcentral.